RNAcentral lists this ribosomal RNA (458 nucleotides) under uncultured bacterium. RNAcentral describes it as "partial 16S ribosomal RNA". It matches the Rfam family "Bacterial small subunit ribosomal RNA", at positions 30 to 507 of the family's 1533-position model. The record is from RNAcentral.
AACGAACGCUGGCGGCAUGCCUAACACAUGCAAGUCGAACGAGACCUUCGGGUCUAGUGGCGCACGGGUGCGUAACGCGUGGGAACCUGCCCUUAGGUUCGGAAUAACUCCCCGAAAGGGGUGCUAAUACCGGAUAAUGUCUUCGGACCAAAGAUUUAUCGCCUUUGGAUGGGCCCGCGUUGGAUUAGCUAGUUGGUAGGGUAAAAGCCUACCAAGGCGACGAUCCAUAGCUGGUCUGAGAGGAUGAUCAGCCACACUGGGACUGAGACACGGCCCAGACGGCGAAGAGAGGCAGCAGUGGGGAAAAGGCGAGAAUGGGAGAAAGGCGGAUGGAGACAAGGCGAGUGGGGGAAGAAGGUCUUCUGAUCGGAAAGAACAUUAACGGGGGAGGAAGGGCAGUAAGCGAACACCUUGCGGUCAGGACCUGACGAACAGAAGAAGAACCGGCAAAACUCGUG